This 23-nucleotide small nuclear RNA is filed under the name Arabidopsis thaliana (thale cress). Its description in RNAcentral is "snRNA_16673". Lineage: Eukaryota; Viridiplantae; Streptophyta; Magnoliopsida; Brassicales; Brassicaceae. The record is from RNAcentral.
UUGGUCAUCGCGCUUGGUUGAAA